AGAGUUUGAUCCUGGCUCAGGAUGAACGCUGGCGGCGUGCCUAAUACAUGCAAGUCGAACGCUUCACUUCGGUGAAGAGUGGCGAACGGGUGAGUAAUACAUAAGUAACCUGGCAUCUACAGGGGGAUAACUGAUGGAAACGUCAGCUAAGACCGCAUAGGUGUAGAGAUCGCAUGAACUCUAUAUGAAAAGUGCUACGGGACUGGUAGAUGAUGGACUUAUGGCGCAUUAGCUGGUUGGUAGGGUAACGGCCUACCAAGGCGACGAUGCGUAGCCGACCUGAGAGGGUGACCGGCCACACUGGGACUGAGACACGGCCCAGACUCCUACGGGAGGCAGCAGUAGGGAAUUUUCGGCAAUGGGGGAAACCCUGACCGAGCAACGCCGCGUGAAGGAAGAAGUAAUUCGUUAUGUAAACUUCUGUCAUAGAGGAAGAACGGUGGAUAUAGGGAAUGAUAUCCAAGUGACGGUACUCUAUAAGAAAGCCACGGCUAACUACGUGCCAGCAGCCGCGGUAAUACGUAGGUGGCGAGCGUUAUCCGGAAUUAUUGGGCGUAAAGAGGGAGCAGGCGGCACUAAGGGUCUGUGGUGAAAGAUCGAAGCUUAACUUCGGUAAGCCAUGGAAACCGUAGAGCUAGAGUGUGUGAGAGGAUCGUGGAAUUCCAUGUGUAGCGGUGAAAUGCGUAGAUAUAUGGAGGAACACCAGUGGCGAAGGCGACGAUCUGGCGCAUAACUGACGCUCAGUCCCGAAAGCGUGGGGAGCAAAUAGGAUUAGAUACCCUAGUAGUCCACGCCGUAAACGAUGAGUACUAAGUGUUGGGAGUCAAAUCUCAGUGCUGCAGUUAACGCAAUAAGUACUCCGCCU
This 865-nucleotide ribosomal RNA is filed under the name human gut metagenome. RNAcentral describes it as "bacterial SSU rRNA". It matches the Rfam family "Bacterial small subunit ribosomal RNA", at positions 9 to 873 of the family's 1533-position model. The record is from RNAcentral.